RNAcentral lists this transfer RNA (66 nucleotides) under Camelus bactrianus (Bactrian camel). It matches the Rfam family "tRNA". Rfam says of the family: Transfer RNA (tRNA) molecules are approximately 80 nucleotides in length. Their secondary structure includes four short double-helical elements and three loops (D, anti-codon, and T loops). The record is from Rfam by way of RNAcentral. RNAcentral also lists the same sequence under 1 other name. Lineage: Eukaryota; Metazoa; Chordata; Mammalia; Artiodactyla; Camelidae.
GUAGGUAUAGCUCAGUGGUAGAGCUCAGCACGCACGAGGUCCUGGGUUCAAUCCCCAGUACCUCCA